RNAcentral lists this long non-coding RNA (602 nucleotides) under Androctonus crassicauda. The record is from RNAcentral. Lineage: Eukaryota; Metazoa; Arthropoda; Arachnida; Scorpiones; Buthidae.
GCCUAAUUAUAUCUAAUAGAAUUGUUCAUUAAAUAAAUUGAAACGUUGUAUAAAAAAAAAGAUUUAAAAAUGAUAAACACAAUACACAAAAAUUAUGUAAAAGGAUACUUGAUAAGAUUAAACAGAGCAGCAAUGCCAGCAUAUCAAUAUGCAAAAUAAAAGGUAUAAAAAUAUGCUAAAAAUGAAAAAACAAUAUUAUUCAAAGUAUAUCUGAUAAAAAGGACAAGAGCUAAAAUAAUUAAAAUAUCCUAAAUAUUUGUCAGUUAAAUAAGAGCACUUGAAUAAAAUGGGAUUUAUAAUAGACACACUUGCAAAAAUUUCAAAUCAUUUGAGUUUUUACUCCACUUUAUCCCUAGUUCGACACUCACAGGACCAAGAACCUUCUGGAUGCUGUUCCAUAAAUGCAUUAUACUUGCCAAAAUAAGAGUGAAAACAACAAAUUGUUUCAAAUGCAUAUUCUUUAAUAAUGUCAAUACUUGGUUAGUACAUACACUACAAAUGCCAGAACCUACCACAACUAUGUCACUUAAUCAAGCUGCCAUGUCUCCUAUUAACAUAUGCUUUGUAUACUAUAAUAAUGUUGUUCUACACAACAAUCUCAU